UCCGUAGGUGAACCUGCGGAAGGAUCAUUUUUGAACCAUAUUAACACUGUGACGAGCCCUUGCGUAGCGAGGGCGACUGCUUCCGGUUCGCCGGAUUAUUUUUUUAACCAUUUCUGAUAAUGUUAGUGAAAAACUUUCAACAACGGAUCUCUUGGUUCUCGCAUCGAUGAAGAACGCAGCAAAGCGCGAUAGGUAAUGCGAAUUGCAGACGUGAGUCAUUGAAUCUUUGAACGCACAUUGCGCCAGUUUACUGGCAUACUGCGUUGAGCGUCGGCCUUCCUCCACAGGUGCUGCUACUUACAGUAGUGAAAGGCAUGGAAACGCACCCGUUAGCAAACCGGUGCUGACCUACAAAUUCGACCUCAGCGUAGUAAGAUUACCCGCUGAACUUAAGCAUAUCAAUAAGCGGAGGAAAAGAAACCAACAGGGAUUGCCCUAGUAAUGGCGAAUGAACAGGCAAAAGCUCAGAUUUGAAACCCUCGGGAUUGUAAUCUGGAGACCUGGAUUUGGCACGCUGACCAAGUCUUCUGGAACGGAGCGCCAUGGAGGGUGACAGCCCCGUAGCAGCAGCCGCAGUAAAUCCGGGUCGACGAGUCGAGUUGUUUGGGAAUGCAGCUCUAAGUGGGUGGUAUGCUCCAUCUAAAGCUAAAUAUUGGCGAGAGACCGAUAGCGAACAAGUACUGUGAAGGAAAGAUGAAAAGAACUUUGAAAAGAGAGUGAAAAAGUACGUGAAAUUGUUGAAAUGGAAGGCAAUGAGGUGCGAUUGACCCGGACGUUUGCGGGCAGCACAAAAGCGCAGGCCGCCUCGGCAUUGCCUGCGUGCAUACUGCCUCGCGGACCACCGGUUCUAACAACGCCUUAUUGCACCCGUCUUGAAACACGGACC
Molecule: small RNA, 886 nt
Filed under: Entelexis paramagnoliae
Lineage: Eukaryota; Fungi; Ascomycota; Dipodascomycetes; Dipodascales; Trichomonascaceae
Description: eukaryotic LSU rRNA
Rfam family: Eukaryotic large subunit ribosomal RNA (bases 358-886)
Source: RNAcentral